AUGAUCACAAACCAGCCAAUUGUGAAUCCUUUUAUUUGUUAUUUGCUGAGUCACUUGAAGACUCGACCCUCCUCUGACCUGUGUGCUAUCCCUAGGCACAUCAGCGACAGGGCUUCAAAUAGCUCCCCUCCUACUCUGGUGCUGGUGAAUGCUAGGUCAGUGCGGAAUAAGAUCAAUACCAUCAGGGACUUCAUUAUUGAAAGUGGGGCUGACUUAGCAUGUAUCACAGAAACCUGGUUGCAGGAGGGCGAUGAGGUCCUCCUCCAGGAAUUAUCAUCUCCAGAUUUUGUUAUCACCCACCAGAUGCGGACCGGGAGACGGGGGGGUGGAGUGGCAAUGCUCGCACGAGAAAAUUUAUCUCUGAGGGCGGCUCCCACUCCGAACAUCUCUGGUAUGGAAAGCAUUGGCCUUGUAUGGGAUUCACAGGAGAGUAUAGCCUUUCUACUGGUGUACCGUGCGCCUAAUGCACCAGUGGACAGCCUAUCACAGCUGCUAGAGGUUGUGUCGGAGUGGGCCUUGAGGUUCCCCAGGCUUAUUGUUUUGGGGGACUUCAAUGUCCACGCUGAUGCAGGCUCCUUCUCCUCAGCAGCUGAAGACCUAGUGUCGACCAUGGCGACACUAGGACUCUCACUUUAUAAUACUGGGCCUACACAUCAGGCUGGCCACACACUAGAUUUGAUCUUUGGGGUUGGAAUCCAAGUGACCCUAACCUCCGUUUUGGAGGUUCCAUGGUCGGACCACUGCGCCCUAGGAAUCCGUAUAGAGCACACCAACCCACCCAACCUGGGCGCCGAACCUAUUUGGGUUCGCCCGAAGAGACUAAUGGAACCGGUCAGGUUCCUGAAUGCUCUAAAGGCCAUAGAACCUGUCAGCGACUCACUAGAGGUGCAAGUGGAUACAUGGAACACCAAAUUAGCCAAUGCACUCGAUGAGAUCGCACCUAGACGCCUUCUCCGACCCCGUAAGAAUCAGUCUCCUUGGUUCACUGAGGAGUUCCGUGCGAUGAAACGGGAGAAGAGACGGCUAGAGGUCAUGUGGCGGGAACGCCGUGAUGAGGAAUCGGAAUCAGCUUAUAAGAAGUCCAGAGAGUCUUAUGAGCAGACUAUCACCGAGGCAAAAAAGUUGUAUUAUGCUUCCUUGAUAGUGUCUGCGAGCUCACACCCAGCACAAUUAUUUAAGAUCAUUAGAUCCCUGACAAAGGUCCCUUCUGUUCCAAACAAUAAUGACCUGGCUCCUUCGGCUGAGGUUUUCCAGAGCUAUUUUGCAGACAAGAUCUCGCUUCUUCGCCGGGAACUCCCUGCCACGAUGGAUACAGUAACUGAACUUGAGACUCCGUGGCCACUCUCUGGGCCCAUCCUGGACCGGUUUACCCCGCUGGAUGCAGAGGCUGUCGACAGGAUCAUGACUGCAGCUAGGCCGACCACCUGCUCCCUCGAUCCGUGUCCCUCCUGGCUAGUAAAAUCCUGCCUAGAUGGAUUACGUGAACCUCUGUUGAAUAUAAUAAAUAGCUCCCUUGAGCAAGGAGUUUUCCCAGAGGGUUUAAAAGAGGCAUCGGUAUCUCAGCUGCUGAAGAAACCAGACUUAGAUCAUUCGGUUCCCGCUAGCUACUGCCCAGUGUCGAACCUUCCGUUUCUGGGCAAGCUGGUUGAGAGAGCAGCAGUGGAACAGUUGCAGCAGUUCCUCAAUGACACAGCCGGACUUGAUCCCUUCCAGUCCGGCUUCCGUAAGGGGCACGGAACGGAGACUGUGCUGGUCGCCAUCACAGACCAACUUCGCUGCCAGAGGGAUCAAGGCGGAUCAGCGCUGCUCGUGUUAUUGGAUCUCACAGCAGCAUUUGAUACGGUCGACCACAAUCUAUUGACCCACCGCCUAGCCAUGACGGGGGUUAGGGGGAUACCCCUGAAAUGGGUGUCCUCCUUCCUCCAAAAUCGGGGACAGCGGGUGGUGAGGGAAGGGUUGGUUUCCGCGUAG
This 1971-nucleotide long non-coding RNA is filed under the name Anolis carolinensis (green anole). RNAcentral describes it as "lncRNA (ENSACAG00000035912.1)". Lineage: Eukaryota; Metazoa; Chordata; Lepidosauria; Squamata; Anolidae. The record is from RNAcentral.